Molecule: ribosomal RNA, 925 nt
Filed under: Rheinheimera tangshanensis
Lineage: Bacteria; Pseudomonadati; Pseudomonadota; Gammaproteobacteria; Chromatiales; Chromatiaceae
Description: bacterial SSU rRNA
Rfam family: Bacterial small subunit ribosomal RNA
Source: RNAcentral
ACCUAGCGGCGGACGGGUGAGUAAUGCGUAGGAAGCUGCCCGAUAGAGGGGGAUACCAGUUGGAAACGACUGUUAAUACCGCAUAAUGUCUACGGACCAAAGUGUGGGACCUUCGGGCCACAUGCUAUCGGAUGCGCCUACGUGGGAUUAGCUAGUUGGUGAGGUAAUGGCUCACCAAGGCGACGAUCUCUAGCUGGUUUGAGAGGAUGAUCAGCCACACUGGAACUGAGACACGGUCCAGACUCCUACGGGAGGCAGCAGUGGGGAAUAUUGGACAAUGGGCGCAAGCCUGAUCCAGCCAUGCCGCGUGUGUGAAGAAGGCCUUCGGGUUGUAAAGCACUUUCAGCGAGGAGGAAGGGUUAGUCGUUAAUAGCGGCUAAUUUUGACGUUACUCGCAGAAGAAGCACCGGCUAACUCUGUGCCAGCAGCCGCGGUAAUACAGAGGGUGCAAGCGUUAAUCGGAAUUACUGGGCGUAAAGCGCACGUAGGCGGUUUUUUAAGUCAGAUGUGAAAGCCCCGGGCUCAACCUGGGAAUUGCAUUUGAAACUGGGGAACUAGAGUGUGUGAGAGGGGGGUAGAAUUCCAAGUGUAGCGGUGAAAUGCGUAGAGAUUUGGAGGAAUACCAGUGGCGAAGGCGGCCCCCUGGCACAACACUGACGCUCAGGUGCGAAAGCGUGGGGAGCAAACAGGAUUAGAUACCCUGGUAGUCCACGCCGUAAACGAUGUCUACUAGCUGUUCGUGUCCUUGUGAUGUGAGUAGCGCAGCUAACGCACUAAGUAGACCGCCUGGGGAGUACGGUCGCAAGAUUAAAACUCAAAUGAAUUGACGGGGGCCCGCACAAGCGGUGGAGCAUGUGGUUUAAUUCGACGCAACGCGAAGAACCUUACCUACUCUUGACAUCUACGGAAGACUGCAGAGAUGCGG